CAUGUACUCCCCCCGUCCCAAAAUUCUUGUCUUAAAUUUGUUUAAAUACUGAUGUAUCAAGUCACGUUUUAGUAUUAGAUACAUCCGUAUCUAGACAAAAUUAAGACAAGAAUUUUAGGACAGAGGGAGUAUCAU
Triticum aestivum (bread wheat) is the source of this 135-nucleotide non-coding RNA. The record is from Rfam. Lineage: Eukaryota; Viridiplantae; Streptophyta; Magnoliopsida; Poales; Poaceae.